UACGUAGGGUGCAAGCGUUAAUCGGAAUUACUGGGCGUAAAGCGUGCGCAGGCGGUUCCGCAAGUCAGAUGUGAAAUCCCCGGGCUCAACCUGGGAACUGCAUUUGAAACUACGGAGCUAGAGUGUGUCAGAGGGGGGUGGAAUUCCACGUGUAGCAGUGAAAUGCGUAGAGAUGUGGAGGAACACCAAUGGCGAAGGCAGCCCCCUGGGAUGACACUGACGCUCAUGCACGAAAGCGUGGGGAGCAAACAGG
RNAcentral lists this ribosomal RNA (253 nucleotides) under uncultured bacterium. Its description in RNAcentral is "partial 16S ribosomal RNA". It matches the Rfam family "Bacterial small subunit ribosomal RNA", at positions 524 to 776 of the family's 1533-position model. The record is from RNAcentral.